GGUCCCCUUUCAAAUGAAAAUAGCCUUCAGUCAUACGUGUGACAAAUUGAUCAAACACAAGAACUUAAUGUUCAAUUCAUCCAAAAAGGAAAAUCCAGUGCCGCCAACAGCAAAUGCAAAGAAAGACCUACCUAGAUAUAUAAUCCAUUUCAUUUGUGUAUACUCGUGUUGUUCCAGCAUUUUAUGACACCUGCAAAGCUCGGAAUCCUAGCAAUGCUGUCAUGGGUGGAGACAAGCUCAUCAUACACCACUGAAACCAGUGACAGAGGAUAACCGCGCUACAAUUGGGCCACCAAGUCAAACUCCAGCGGAAAGCUUCAAGUUUGUCAAUAGAGCAGUGAUGAACAAGAUUAUAAACCAAAUGCUUCAAUGCACAGCAAGGGAUGUAGUAGAGGUUAAGAUAGUGCUAAGGACCUCAUCUUCACGUCUACCAUAAUGUUAAAUUGCUGCCUUGCUCAAAUCUCUACCUUUUCUGUCCAAAAUCUCUACCUUUUCUGUCCAACAAGCAUCAACCAUGAACACCAAGUUUGAAUCCUGGAAAGUCCCACCAGCUUCCCUCCCUCCUUCCCCGUCAUUUUCAUCAUGAUCCUGGCGCCAAUUUAUCACCACAUGGUCAUUCCAUUUGCCAGAAAAGUUAUAAAUUCUGAAAUGGGGAUCACUCAUAUUCGAAGGGUGGAUAGCUAUAGUCAUCUCCAAUCUCCAUUGCGGCAUUCUUUGAAUAUAAUAUUAGCAGAAGCAUUGAUAAAAAAGGGGAUGUAGCUCAGAUGGUAGAGCGCUCGCUUAGCAUGCGAGAGGUACGGGGAUCGAUACCCCGCAUCUCCAUUCCUUUCUUUUCCCUUUUAUUAAUCUGUUGUUUUUUCAUAUCAUUUCUCUGAAUAUAUCCCUGAUGAAAUGAUUAGCGCCAAACUUAACAAAGGGUAUUAUCAUCCUACCUUGAAAUUUACAUCCCUUAGUCUUACGCACUCCACAUUAUUUCUUUCCCCUCAUAUCAGCAGGAAAAAUUUUAAAAAUAUUAAUGAAAAUGCCCAAAAACCAAGAAAAGCAAAACUCCUCAGACACUUGAGUCAGCUUCCUUCAACCCACCGAGUAAAACAGACCCAACAAACAACCCAGCUGCAACAACUGCAAUCUCCAGCUUGCAUCGCCACCAACCCCACCAAAUCAUCCGGUAUUACCACGAUCGCUGCCAGCGCCGCUACCAGUAUGGGAAGCCCAGCUGAAGCCAGAGUCGACGGGGAGACACUGGCUGUCUUCUCCAACAGACUCUAACAGCCCCAACUCCUCAGCUCUCGAAAACACACCCAAAUUCUCUAUUGAUAAGAGUGUGGAUCCCAGCUCUUCCGCCUUGGAGAGUAGUCCUGCC
RNAcentral lists this transfer RNA (1363 nucleotides) under Hevea brasiliensis (rubber tree). The stretch from base 750 to 822 matches the Rfam family "tRNA". The record is from RNAcentral. Lineage: Eukaryota; Viridiplantae; Streptophyta; Magnoliopsida; Malpighiales; Euphorbiaceae.